AGCGGGUUAAGCCGGGAACUUUAAGGAUACUGCCAGUGACAAACUGGAGGAAGGCGGGACGACGUCAAGUCAUCAUGGCCCUUACGACCAGGGCUACACACGUGCUACAAUGGUCGGUACAAAGGGUUGCUACCUAGCGAUAGGAUGCUAAUCUCAAAAAGCCGAUCGUAGUCCGGAUUGGAGUCUGCAACUCGACUCCAUGAAGUCGGAAUCGCUAGUAAUCGCGGAUCAGAAUGCCGCGGUCGAAUACGUUCCCGGGCCUU
This 263-nucleotide ribosomal RNA is filed under the name uncultured Acinetobacter sp. RNAcentral's name for it is "partial 16S ribosomal RNA". It matches the Rfam family "Bacterial small subunit ribosomal RNA", at positions 1120 to 1382 of the family's 1533-position model. Lineage: Bacteria; Pseudomonadati; Pseudomonadota; Gammaproteobacteria; Moraxellales; Moraxellaceae. The record is from RNAcentral.